RNAcentral lists this ribosomal RNA (253 nucleotides) under uncultured bacterium. RNAcentral's name for it is "partial 16S ribosomal RNA". It matches the Rfam family "Bacterial small subunit ribosomal RNA", at positions 524 to 776 of the family's 1533-position model. The record is from RNAcentral.
UACGAAGGGGACUAGCGUUGUUCGGAUUUACUGGGCGUAAAGCGCGCGUAGGCGGAUCGCUAAGUCAGGGGUGAAAUCCCAGGGCUCAACCCUGGAACUGCCUUUGAUACUGACGAUCUGGAGAUCGGGAGAGGUUGGUGGAAUUCCGAGUGUAGAGGUGAAAUUCGUAGAUAUUCGGAAGAACACCAGUGGCGAAGGCGGCUCACUGGACCGGUAUUGACGCUGAGGUGCGAAAGCGUGGGGAGCAAACAGG